Molecule: non-coding RNA, 73 nt
Organism: Salmo salar (Atlantic salmon)
Lineage: Eukaryota; Metazoa; Chordata; Actinopteri; Salmoniformes; Salmonidae
Source: Rfam
GGGGAAUUAGCUCAAAUGCUAGAGUGCUUGCUUAGCAUGCGAGAGGUAGUGGGAUCAAUUCCCACAUUCUCCA